This 356-nucleotide long non-coding RNA is filed under the name Oryzias sinensis (Chinese medaka). RNAcentral describes it as "lncRNA (ENSOSIG00000019507.1)". Lineage: Eukaryota; Metazoa; Chordata; Actinopteri; Beloniformes; Adrianichthyidae. The record is from RNAcentral.
GCACUGGCUCUUUUAGGAAUCCCCAUCAAGUUGAAGUUCUGUCCAUUCUUGCUUUGUAAAUAAAUGGGACGCUGGCCCUUUAAAUCUUGGCAGGAGGCGGUCCUUGUUUGGAGCGCGAGGCGCGUGGGAGGAGGAGGAGGAGGAGGAGGAGCGCGGGUUACGUCCGCCAUACAGAUGCAAACCAAAUGAACGUUGGAUCCCGAGGACUAGCUCUAGCCUGAACUACUGCUCCUCUGUUAUUCUCCACGUGAAGAUUCACGGUCAAGAUGAAACCCAAACCUCAAGAAAACGUGGAAUGAUUCUGACUUUCAAUAUCCAAAAGUUUUCCAAUAGAGGUCUCCUUUAAAUCCUUUUUG